This 779-nucleotide ribosomal RNA is filed under the name uncultured Neocallimastigales. RNAcentral describes it as "partial large subunit ribosomal RNA". It matches the Rfam family "Eukaryotic large subunit ribosomal RNA", at positions 22 to 645 of the family's 3401-position model. The record is from RNAcentral. Lineage: Eukaryota; Fungi; Neocallimastigomycota; Neocallimastigomycetes; Neocallimastigales.
AUAUCAGUCAUGCAUAGCAUAUCAAUAAGCGGAGGAAAAGAAACUAACUAAGGAUUCCCUUAGUAACGGCGAGUGAAGCGGGAAGAGCUCAAAUUUGAAAUCUUCAAGGUUCUACCUUGACGAAUUGUAGUUUAUAGAAGUGUUUUCUGUUAGUAGGAGUGGCAAAAGUUCUUUGGAAUAGGACAUCAUAGAGGGUGAGAAUCCCGUAUUUGGUCAUUCCUCCUAGCGUUGUGAUACACUUUCAACGAGUCGGAUUGUUUGGGAAUGCAGUCCAAAAUGGGUGGUAAAUUUCAUCUAAAGCUAAAUAUUGGCGAGAGACCGAUAGCGAACAAGUACCGUGAGGGAAAGAUGAAAAGAACUUUGAAAAGAGAGUUAAACAGUACGUGAAAUUGUCAAAAGGGAAGCGUUUGACACCAGUGUUGUUUUUCCGAAAAUCAAUUAUGAAUGUUUUAUUUUUGAGGAGUUAUGACUUCAUCGGCUUGCUUCUCUUCUUUACGAAACUUUCUUAAUGCACUUUUCGGUUAACAAGUCAACAUCAAUUUCUUUUGUUGUAAAAGGGUAUGAGGAAGGUGGCUUUCUUUUCGGAGAAAGUGUUUAUAGCCUUGUGCCUCUGCAAUCGGAGAGAUUGAGGUCUGCAGCGUAGAUCCUUCGGGGUUAGAUACGUUUGUGCUAAGUUAUAGCUUUUCAUAGACAACUUGUUGACUAUGUUAAGUCAUUGUAGCUUACUCGCUGACUGCUAUUUUACCUACGCUUAGGAUGUUGAUCUCUCACAGUCGAGC